GUGAUUGUAGCUCAGUUGGUUAGAGCGUCGGAUUGUGGUUCCGAAGGUCGCGGGUUCGAGACCCGUCUUUCACCCGA
RNAcentral lists this transfer RNA (77 nucleotides) under Paenimyroides marinum. RNAcentral describes it as "Flavobacterium marinum tRNA_His_GTG". It matches the Rfam family "tRNA". Rfam says of the family: Transfer RNA (tRNA) molecules are approximately 80 nucleotides in length. Lineage: Bacteria; Pseudomonadati; Bacteroidota; Flavobacteriia; Flavobacteriales; Flavobacteriaceae. The record is from RNAcentral. RNAcentral also lists the same sequence under 1 other name.